CUUGUGCUCAAGCUCUCACACUCUCUCAAAAAAAAAAAAAAAAAAAUUAACUCCACCUGGACAGCACAAUGAUUUACACAUGGCACCUACAUAAAGCCCCUGCCUGUAAUUCACACCAACUAAUUUAAGUCCAAUGAGCUAUAUGACCCUAUUCCUGAAAAAAGGCACAAGAACUUCAGUCUGGUUUCAUUGGCAUCAGCACCACCAAAGAGGAAGAAAGGUUUCUAAACUUUUCCUCUCUGCCCUUAAGCCAAUUCUUCCAAGGUAGUCGAAACCCAGCCACUGGCUAGCCUUGUGCAAUCCUGCUAAGUCUGCUCCUUUGCAAUAAUCUCCAUAGCAAUGGGCUCUGUGACCUAACCCACAGCCAAGGAAGCAAGAAAUUCAGACACAAACACCCAACCAGGGAGCAAGGACAUCAGCUGAGGCAUCAGGGAUGUCUGAGCUACUUUUGGAGGCUCUGAUAAACAAGCAGGUCAUCUGUAACUAGUGUCCUUUUAAGAAGAGGACACUUGGACACAACGUGCACUGCACACACAGUAAAAGACCAAGCGAGGACACAGCAAGCAAGAAGGCAGCCAUCUGCAAGCCAAGGAGAUCGGCCUCCGGAGAAAACAACCCCACCAAUAUCUUGGUCUGGGACUUCUAGCCUCCAGAAUAGUGUGGGCAUGCAGGUUUUUGAGAAGAGGCAACACAGGUGAGAGAAGACCCAGAAGCAGAUGGUGGGGAUGUCCUUCCAGGAGUCAUCUUCAUUACCCUGGCAAUCUUUAAAGUAUUUAUCGAGUCAAUAAAGCAGACAGUCAAGUGAUGGCGGCAUGCUGAACAGGUUUCAGACAGGCUACAGGCAAUAAUACACUGCUAUGGCCAUUCGCUGGCCCAAGUCAGGCCACCAGUCAGGCUUACAAAGAAGCGACAGACCACAUAUUAGAAUUACACAGAAGUUGUACGCUGAUGUAAUGCACACCUCUUGCCCCUGCACACCCCCACAGAAACACAUUUAUCCUCCACACGGUCCCAGGCCUUCUGGGUGCCUCUGCUCCUGGCCUUUCACACUAUCUUUACACUAAUUAUUUGUAGACAAUCCUGUCUCUUCAUCUAGACUGUCUGCUCCCGGAGAGGUAUGAUCCACACUAGAGUCCACCUUUGUAUUGUGCCUACAAAACAAGAAUUCAGUACCUAUUUCGUGAACAGCAGGUUAAUCCCGCAGCAUAGAACCCUAAGGAGGAGAUGGAAAGCCUCUAGACUAGAGCAAUGCUUCCAUAAAUUAACAUGCAGACAAAUGACCUAAGGAUCUCGCUAAAAUACACAUUCUUGAAUACCACCCCCUGGAGAUUACAACUCAGCAGUUCUGGGGUAGGGUUCCCAAAUCUUCAUUUCUAACAAGACCUCAAGGAGACUGAUGUUGCCGGUCCACUCCGGCUCUGCCUAGAAUAACCUCCCACCUGAAGCAGAAGUCACCCCAAGUGCAAUUCUGAGAGGAAUACCAUGGGGUAGCUUCUGCACCCCUCCCUCCACUCCCAGGAGAAAAGGUGACACACCCCAAGGCCACCCAGUCUGCUUCAGGUCCUAGAACUGCUAAAGACGUUCUCCCUUAUAUACCAAGUUCCCCGGAGUUCAAACGCCUGCCCUGGAGACACUAUCGAUGUGCCCACAAAGGUCUCUCACUGACUUUUUUUCAAAUCACUCACUCACUUUCCUUCCUUGUCUCCCUGCCUUUGCCUCUUUCUCUUUGCCCUUGCACAACUGGAACCACAUCUGAAUACUAAACUACAGCCCUUUUAUUUGUGCUCUUAGGAAAAUAUCCCAGGAAAACCGCAUGCUUCUCAAGUUACAGGUCCUCCCCUCUCUGAAUUUAUCUACUUUUCCCAUAAUAAACCCCCUCCAUGCCAGCAAUUAAUCAGCCCCCAAAGACCACCCAGGAACAGCCAAGGAGAACCCUGCCCUCUCCAUAAAGCUGCCUGCCAGCACCAUGCGCGUCCCCGAGUCCCUUGCGAGCACAGCAGUGCCUUCAUUAGUCACGCAAAGAGGUGGGCCAACCUCAGGCUUCCUUCUAGCUCUGCUGCCCUAGAAGAGUAUGACCUAAACCCAGGGACACCUGGGAACCAUUCCAGAUUCUUCCUUUGUUGACACUCUCUUCUUAGAGAGCAUCUGGAGAGUCAAUGUCAGGAGGCCUGGAGUCAAAUCCCAACUCCACCAGCAAGGAGGUCUGUGAUGGUGAGCUCAUCAGAUAAGGCAUUUGACCCUCCAUUUCCUCAACUAUAAACUGAGGAUAAUCAUAUCUCAGAGCUACUUUGUGAGACUGCAUUGAGGUAAAUGACAUUUGUAAAAUUCCUAAACUGCAAGACAUGACAGAAAUGUUAAUUAUCGUCUCGCACUGCCAGGUACUCAAAUACUGGCUGCAUGUAUGACAUCCCUGUCUGCAGGCUACAUUCCUCACAAGGUAAACGAAGUCAAAUUCCACACAACGAUGGUCUCUGAAAUCACUGCUCUCCACUACUGUUGAGCCACUAUUUAUUUAUUGGCAACUCAUCAGGCUCCAGGCCUGUGCUAAGCACUUCACACGUGUUAUCACAUCCCGUCCUCAUUACCACCUCAAUGAGGCAGGUGCUAUCACGAUCCCCAUUUUACAAAUGGGGAGAGUAAAGCACAAAACAGUUAGGUAAUGUGUUCAAGGUGACACAGCUAGCAGUGGCAAAGAAGGAAUCUGAAGCCAGGAGGUCUUAUUCUAGAGCCAGUGCCCCUAACUUCCAGGGGAGGCCGACCCCUGCGGGACACAAAGAUCCACGCGUGUCUCCACAUGGGAACGGCACCGGCACCUCUGCCCCCACGUUUUAGCUCUGUACUCCGAGAACUCAUUCACAGGACAAAAUGACAGCAUGAUGCUCCAGAAAAAUUACAGCUAUUCAUUCUCCCAAUUAGCAUGUGAUGAAGAGAAGGGGGAAAUCACCAACUAUUUAAUGUGCUUGAAACCUGGUCUAUGAAAGAUUCAGUCAUUUGAAAACCACAUUUAUAACUGGAAGUAAAUCUCAAGAAAUAUAAACUCGAGGCAAGGUUUUCACUUCAAUAACCCUUGUAGUUAAUAAGUUUCGCAAGUAAAAGAAGAAUAUCGGAGGACAGGCUCUACGUUGUAUGCCCCAACAAUGUAAGCUAGUCAGAGGCUCGGAGGAACCUCCCACAUCUGUAACUAGAACAUCCCCUGAGGCAGCUUAAGAGUCAUAAAUUGGAUCUGCAUCCUUCUUUGGGAUGACAUACCUGUGACAAGCCCAGAAUUCCAGGAGACCUGGACCUCUUUACACCACCUAACAUAAUUAACAGAGCUAAUGACAGCAAAAUGGGUAAAAAGAAACAGUAAAUCUUUGCAACUUUUCUGUAAGUCUAAAAAUACCCCAAAAUAGACCAGUUAUUUUAAAACAUACAAAAACUAACAAAAAGCCAACAGAAAAACAAGCAAAGAAUAUGACCAGACCGUUCACAAAGAGAAAAUACGAUCAGAUCUAGGAUAUAGUAAGAGAUGCUCAACAUUAUUAAUAAGAAAUGCAAACUGAAACCACUAUGAGAUACAAUUUUUCUCUUAUCAGAUUGGCAAAAAUUCAAAAGUUUAACCACAAAACUUGUUGCCAAGGCUUGGGGAAAUCCCUACUCUUAAACAGGAAUAUAAAUUGGUACAACCAAUACAAAUUCGUACAGAGGAUUUGGGCAGUAACUAUCAAAAUGACAAAUGCACAUAUACUUUGACUAACAAUUUCACUCCUGGGAGUUUAUCCUACAGAUGUAUACGUACACAUGGAUGAAACGCCAUAUAGUCAAAAUUAUUCAAAGCAGCAUCACUUGUAAGAGUGAAGAACUAGACAUAACCCAAGGUCGUUACAUAUGAACCGAUUAAAUAUGUAAGAGUACAACCAUAUAAUGGACUAUUGGGCAGCUUUAAAGACAAUUAAUUAGGUAGCUCUCUCCAUACUGAGAUGGAAUGAUCUCCAAGAUAUACUGAUAAUCACAAAAAAGCAAGAUGCGGAAUGAUGUUUAUGGUAUCGCUG
Molecule: long non-coding RNA, 4031 nt
Organism: Herpailurus yagouaroundi (jaguarundi)
Lineage: Eukaryota; Metazoa; Chordata; Mammalia; Carnivora; Felidae
Exons: 3
Source: RefSeq, a predicted model, not a curated record